GAGAGUUUGAUCCUGGCUCAGGAUGAACGCUAGCUACAGGCUUAACACAUGCAAGUCGAGGGGCAGCAUGGUCUUAGCUUGCUAAGGCCGAUGGCGACCGGCGCACGGGUGAGUAACACGUAUCCAACCUGCCGUCUACUCUUGGACAGCCUUCUGAAAGGAAGAUUAAUACAAGAUGGCAUCAUGAGUCCGCAUGUUCACAUGAUUAAAGGUAUUCCGGUAGACGAUGGGGAUGCGUUCCAUUAGAUAGUAGGCGGGGUAACGGCCCACCUAGUCUUCGAUGGAUAGGGGUUCUGAGAGGAAGGUCCCCCACAUUGGAACUGAGACACGGUCCAAACUCCUACGGGAGGCAGCAGUGAGGAAUAUUGGUCAAUGGGCGAGAGCCUGAACCAGCCAAGUAGCGUGAAGGAUGACUGCCCUAUGGGUUGUAAACUUCUUUUAUAAAGGAAUAAAGUCGGGUAUGGAUACCCGUUUGCAUGUACUUUAUGAAUAAGGAUCGGCUAACUCCGUGCCAGCAGCCGCGGUAAUACGGAGGAUCCGAGCGUUAUCCGGAUUUAUUGGGUUUAAAGGGAGCGUAGAUGGAUGUUUAAGUCAGUUGUGAAAGUUUGCGGCUCAACCGUAAAAUUGCAGUUGAUACUGGAUAUCUUGAGUGCAGUUGAGGCAGGCGGAAUUCGUGGUGUAGCGGUGAAAUGCUUAGAUAUCACGAAGAACUCCGAUUGCGAAGGCAGCCUGCUAAGCUGCAACUGACAUUGAGGCUCGAAAGUGUGGGUAUCAAACAGGAUUAGAUACCCUGGUAGUCCACACGGUAAACGAUGAAUACUCGCUGUUUGCGAUAUACUGCAAGCGGCCAAGCGAAAGCGUUAAGUAUUCCACCUGGGGAGUACGCCGGCAACGGUGAAACUCAAAGGAAUUGACGGGGGCCCGCACAAGCGGAGGAACAUGUGGUUUAAUUCGAUGAUACGCGAGGAACCUUACCCGGGCUUAAAUUGCAGAUGAAUUACGGUGAAAGCCGUAAGCCGCAAGGCAUCUGUGAAGGUGCUGCAUGGUUGUCGUCAGCUCGUGCCGUGAGGUGUCGGCUUAAGUGCCAUAACGAGCGCAACCCUUGUUGUCAGUUACUAACAGGUUCCGCUGAGGACUCUGACAAGACUGCCAUCGUAAGAUGUGAGGAAGGUGGGGAUGACGUCAAAUCAGCACGGCCCUUACGUCCGGGGCUACACACGUGUUACAAUGGGGGGUACAGAGGGCCGCUACCACGCGAGUGGAUGCCAAUCCCCAAAACCUCUCUCAGUUCGGACUGGAGUCUGCAACCCGACUCCACGAAGCUGGAUUCGCUAGUAAUCGCGCAUCAGCCACGGCGCGGUGAAUACGUUCCCGGGCCUUGUACACACCGCCCGUCAAGCCAUGGGAGCCGGGGGUACCUGAAGUGCGUAACCGCGAGGAGCGCCCUAGGGUAAAACUGGUGACUGGGGCUAAGUCGUAACAAGGUAGCCG
This 1491-nucleotide ribosomal RNA is filed under the name uncultured bacterium. Its description in RNAcentral is "bacterial SSU rRNA". It matches the Rfam family "Bacterial small subunit ribosomal RNA". The record is from RNAcentral.